UACGGAGGGGGCUAGCGUUGUUCGGAAUUACUGGGCGUAAAGCGCGCGUAGGCGGACCUGCAAGUCGGGGGUGAAAGCCCGAGGCUCAACCUCGGAACUGCCUUCGAUACUGCGGGUCUCGAGUCCGGGAGAGGUGAGUGGAAUUCCUAGUGUAGAGGUGAAAUUCGUAGAUAUUAGGAAGAACACCAGUGGCGAAGGCGGCUCACUGGCCCGGUACUGACGCUGAAGCGCGAAAGCCAGGGGAGCGAACGGG
RNAcentral lists this ribosomal RNA (253 nucleotides) under uncultured bacterium. RNAcentral's name for it is "partial 16S ribosomal RNA". It matches the Rfam family "Bacterial small subunit ribosomal RNA", at positions 524 to 776 of the family's 1533-position model. The record is from RNAcentral.